UACGGAAGGCAGCAGUGGGGAAUAUUGCACAAUGGGCGCAAGCCUGAUGCAGCCAUGCCGCGUGUAUGAAGAAGGCCUUCGGGUUGUAAAGUACUUUCAGCGGGGAGGAAGGCGGUGAAGUUAAUAGCUUCACCGAUUGACGUUACCCGCAGAAGAAGCACCGGCUAACUCCGUGCCAGCAGCCGCGGUAAUACGGAGGGUGCAAGCGUUAAUCGGAAUUACUGGGCGUAAAGCGCACGCAGGCGGUCUGUCAAGUCGGAUGUGAAAUCCCCGGGCUUAACCUGGGAACUGCAUUCGAAACUGGCAGGCUAGAGUCUUGUAGAGGGGGUAGAAUUCCAGGUGUAGCGGUGAAAUGCGUAGAGAUCUGGAGGAAUACCGGUGGCGAAGGCGGCCCCUGGGACAAAGACUGACGCUCAGGGUGCGAAAGCGUGGGGAGCGAAACAGGGAUUAGGAU
RNAcentral lists this ribosomal RNA (454 nucleotides) under uncultured bacterium. RNAcentral's name for it is "bacterial SSU rRNA". It matches the Rfam family "Bacterial small subunit ribosomal RNA", at positions 340 to 784 of the family's 1533-position model. The record is from RNAcentral.